This 476-nucleotide ribosomal RNA is filed under the name Bacillus cereus. Its description in RNAcentral is "bacterial SSU rRNA". It matches the Rfam family "Bacterial small subunit ribosomal RNA", at positions 39 to 500 of the family's 1533-position model. The record is from RNAcentral. Lineage: Bacteria; Bacillati; Bacillota; Bacilli; Caryophanales; Bacillaceae.
CGGUGACCGCAGCGUAUACAUGCAGUCGAGCGAAUGGAUUAAGAGCUUGCUCUUAUGAAGUUAGCGGCGGACGGGUGAGUAACACGUGGGUAACCUGCCCAUAAGACUGGGAUAACUCCGGGAAACCGGGGCUAAUACCGGAUAACAUUUUGAACCGCAUGGUUCGAAAUUGAAAGGCGGCUUCGGCUGUCACUUAUGGAUGGACCCGCGUCGCAUUAGCUAGUUGGUGAGGUAACGGCUCACCAAGGCAACGAUGCGUAGCCGACCUGAGAGGGUGAUCAACUACACUGGGACUGAGACACGGCCCAGACUCAUACGGGAGGCAGCAGUAGGGAAUCUUCCGCAAUGGACGAAAGUCUGACGGAGCAACGCCGCGUGAGUGAUGAAGGUUUUCGGGUCGUAACACCUCUGAUGUGAGGAAAGAAACAGUGCACUGUUGUAUAAUUUGCCACCUUCGACGACACAUCACCUGCUUU